UCCCUGGUGGCUCAGAGGCUAAAGCAUCUGCCUGCAAUGUAGGAGACCUGGGUUCGAUCCCUGGGUAAGGAA
Molecule: transfer RNA, 72 nt
Filed under: Bos taurus (domestic cattle)
Lineage: Eukaryota; Metazoa; Chordata; Mammalia; Artiodactyla; Bovidae
Also listed under: 5 other names
Rfam family: tRNA
About the family: Transfer RNA (tRNA) molecules are approximately 80 nucleotides in length. Their secondary structure includes four short double-helical elements and three loops (D, anti-codon, and T loops).
Source: Rfam by way of RNAcentral